GAUGAACGCUGGCGGCGUGCUUAACACAUGCAAGUCGAACGAGAAAUGGAGACGGAAACCUUCGGGCGGAAGGCUUCAUUUCGAGUGGCGGACGGGUGAGUAACGCGUGGGUAACCUGCCUCAUACAGGGGGAUAACAGUUGGAAACGACUGUUAAUACCGCAUAAGACCACAGCACCGCAUGGUGCGGGGGUAAAAACUCCGGUGGUAUGAGAUGGACCCGCGUUCGAUUAGCCAGUUGGCGGGGUAACGGCCCACCAAAGCGACGAUCGAUAGCCGAUCUGAGAGGAUGACCGGCCACAUUGGGACUGAGACACGGCCCAAACUCCUACGGGAGGCAGCAGUGGGGAAUAUUGCACAAUGGGGGAAACCCUGAUGCAGCGACGCCGCGUGAGUGAAGAAGUACUUCGGUAUGUAAAGCUCUAUCAGUAGGGAAGAAAAUGACGGUACCUGAGUAAGAAGCCCCGGCUAACUACGUG
RNAcentral lists this ribosomal RNA (478 nucleotides) under uncultured bacterium. Its description in RNAcentral is "partial 16S ribosomal RNA". It matches the Rfam family "Bacterial small subunit ribosomal RNA", at positions 28 to 507 of the family's 1533-position model. The record is from RNAcentral.